This 250-nucleotide ribosomal RNA is filed under the name uncultured archaeon. Its description in RNAcentral is "partial 16S ribosomal RNA". It matches the Rfam family "Archaeal small subunit ribosomal RNA", at positions 748 to 997 of the family's 1478-position model. The record is from RNAcentral.
CAGCCGUAAACUAUGCGCGUUAGGUGUAUCGGUGACCACGAGUUACCGAGGUGCCGAAGGGAAACCGUGAAACGUGCCGCCUGGGAAGUACGGUCGCAAGGCUGAAACUUAAAGGAAUUGGCGGGGGAGCACCACAACAGGUGGAGCCUGCGGUUUAAUUGGACUCAACGCCGGGAAGCUCACCGGAUAGGACAGCAGAAUGAUUGCCGGGCUGAAGACCCUGCAUGACUAGCUGAGAGGUGGUGCAUGG